RNAcentral lists this long non-coding RNA (522 nucleotides) under Lathyrus oleraceus (garden pea). RNAcentral describes it as "Pisum sativum (pea) long non-coding RNA (PSAT_LNC010230)". The record is from RNAcentral. Lineage: Eukaryota; Viridiplantae; Streptophyta; Magnoliopsida; Fabales; Fabaceae.
UGAUACAUGUAUAGGUGAUGGAGUAGAUCGAUCCAUAACAUAUUUAUUGUUUUUUUUAGGAAAUAAAGAUACGAUGGUGAUUUAAAAAUGUGAGAUGGCGAUCGAAAUAUAGAUAAGGUUUCUUGGCGGCAAUCCAAAACAAGAAAUCUAAACACCUUAUCAGGAGAACAAGCUUUCUUUGCGCUUACAAAAGAAUCAUACGCAAGCACGACGCAGGAAUCUACCAUGUUCUCCUUGUUUUAAAAAAAAGCUCUUCUAUGAGCAUAACACAUGAAGCAGGCUCUCAUUGAGCUUACAAAAGACUCAUAUGGCAGCAUAACGCAUAAAUUCACUGGCCUUUUCUUGCUCUUGUUGAGAUAUUAGAUAUAAUACAAGUUAAGUUGUGUGACCCAAGUCCAAAGCUAAUUAGGGUUUAGGGUUUGUUGUGUAGUUUGUUAUUUUACUUAGUAUUCAAGUCAUUUAGGUCUAUAUAAAUAGACACUUUGUAAUUCAGUAUUAUGAUUCAAUUAAAUUAAAUUCAAU